CCACCUCUUCCCAUUCCGAACAGAGAAGUUAAGCCUCGUCACGCCGAUGGUACUGCGUAACAGUGGAAGAGUAGGUAGCCGCCGUCU
This 87-nucleotide ribosomal RNA is filed under the name Parabacteroides distasonis. Lineage: Bacteria; Pseudomonadati; Bacteroidota; Bacteroidia; Bacteroidales; Tannerellaceae. RNAcentral also lists the same sequence under 1 other name. The record is from RNAcentral.